UGACAAUGACUUGUGGAAAAUAAUAUUCGGAAUUAUGUCAAUUUGCUUGUGCGUUAUUAGCUACUAGUAAUUUUGUUGUGCGUUAUUAGCUACCAGUGACUUGAAAUUAUGUUGUAUAAUUUCUGCGCCGGAAAAGUGUAGACGAUAUAAUUAAUGCACAGGAAGCUACAAAAAAACGAAAAAAAUAAAAAUAAAUAAAACUAAC
This 205-nucleotide long non-coding RNA is filed under the name Trifolium pratense (red clover). RNAcentral's name for it is "long non-coding RNA (TPRA_LNC007362)". The record is from RNAcentral. Lineage: Eukaryota; Viridiplantae; Streptophyta; Magnoliopsida; Fabales; Fabaceae.